UGCAGUCGACGAGCCUUCGGGUUAGUGGCGGACGGGUGAGUAACGCGUGAGAACUGCCCUCAGGAGGGGGAUAACAGUUGGAAACGACUGCUAAUACCCCAUAUGCCGAGAGGUGAAACGAAUUUUGCCUGGGGAUGAGCUCGCGUCUGAUUAGCUUGUUGGUGGGGUAAAAGCCUACCAAGGCUUCGAUCAGUAGCUGGUCUGAGAGGACGAUCAGCCACACUGGGACUGAGAUACGGCCCAGACUCCUACGGGAGGCAGCAGUGGGGAAUUUUCCGCAAUGGGCGCAAGCCUGACGGAGCAACGCCGCGUGAGGGAUGAAGGCCUUUGGGCUGUAAACCUCUUUUCUCAAGGAAGAAGAUCUGACGGUACUUGAGGAAUAAGCCACGGCUAAUUCCGUGCCAGCAGCCGCGGUAAUACGGGAGUGGCAAGCGUUAUCCGGAAUUAUUGGGCGUAAAGCGUCCGCAGGCGGCCGUUUAAGUCUGUUGUUAAAUCGUGGAGCUCAACUCCAUCACGGCAAUGGAAACUGUUCGGCUUGAGUAUGGUAGGGGCAGAGGGAAUUUCCGGUGUAGCGGUGAAAUGCGUAGAUAUCGGGAAGAACACCAGUGGCAAAAGCGCUCUGCUGGGCCAUUACUGACGCUCAUGGACGAAAGCCAGGGGAGCGAAAGGGAUUAGAUACCCCUGUAGUCCUGGCCGUAAACGAUGAACACUAGAUGUUGGGGGAAUCGACCCCUCCGGUGUCGUAGCUAACGCGUUAAGUGUUCCGGCCUGGGAGUACGCACGC
This 784-nucleotide ribosomal RNA is filed under the name uncultured bacterium. Its description in RNAcentral is "bacterial SSU rRNA". It matches the Rfam family "Bacterial small subunit ribosomal RNA", at positions 56 to 889 of the family's 1533-position model. The record is from RNAcentral.